This is a long non-coding RNA of Lutra lutra (Eurasian river otter), 1837 nucleotides long. RefSeq lists it as uncharacterized. Lineage: Eukaryota; Metazoa; Chordata; Mammalia; Carnivora; Mustelidae. The record is from RefSeq and is a predicted model, not a curated record. The transcript has 3 exons.
CCACGCACAGUCCCAUCAGCGGAGCACCCGGGCCUCUGGGAAGUGGAGCAAGACGUGGGGGAGGGCCGGGGACCCAGGGGCACGCCCGGCGGGAGGGCCAAUCAUUCGGGUCUCUCCCCGAGGUGGCCUGCCGCCUGGGGCCGCACACAGCUCCCCAGGACACGAAAGGAAGGUGCAAGAAGGGACCCAAGAGGGGCCAAGCAGGGCUGGGGGCGGCGGCGGUGGGAAGACAGAGACCGAGGCCCAAGGGAUGCAGGAGGAUAGAGGGGCUCUUCCUUUUUUGCUGUCCGCGCCUCCUGCUUCCGACCCCACGUGACUCCCGCGCAGGAGCUCCUCGUGGGAAGAAGUCCUUCCCAGAAGCCGCGGUGUCUUCAGCGGGGUGGCGCUGCGGGAGGACCUCCUUGGCCCUCCGUGUGUCUGCGGCGCCUCCUGCAGGCUCUCCGGAGUAGAGUGACCCCAUCAGCUGUGAUCCAAAGGAGGACACUCUGAGAGUGUAGAAGGGGCUUCGCAGAGCAAUAAACAUAAACCAGACUCUAGGACAGCGGGUGCAAACCAGGACUGGGCCCUAUGGUCACCCUGUCUCAGAAGGACGCCUCUGAGCAAGGUUUCUCUGGCUCAGCAGGAGCUCCCCCGACUCACCCCAGCUCCAGGCCUGUUUCCAGCUCUGGGCCUCCACCCCCCCCGCAGGCCUUCCGUUUCCGCAAUCACACCUGCAUUUGCUCUUCUUUUACCUUUUACCCCGGCUAAGGAAAUUACCUUUCACCUGGUGCCCCAACCUGGAAGUCUCCUUAACCCUUACUUAAAUCCACCUGGUCCCCAAGUCCUGGCGAGUCUGCUUCUGUUAUGUGUCCUAUGGAGCCCUUCCCCCUCUCCAGCCCUGUUUGUCCCCACCUGACUUCGGUUCCUCCUCCAGUCUUCUCUCCCUGACGCCAAAAGCCCCGUCUACAGCUCUGGGUGGGGGCUGAGUCAGGGACCACACAGGUGUGAGACAUCAGGCAAAACCACCUAACUGGCUGGACCCACUUCCUAAAUGUUGUCGAGUUCCAGAACCUCUCCAGGGCUUUUUAGGGCUUGGCAAACCUCCAGGGACUGGACACAAGUGCCCAGAUACAGCGGUCCCUGGAUUUGCUUGGGGCUCAGGUGCCACGUGGGAAGGAAUUCAGUGUCACUUAGAGCCUGAACUUCUUAGAGCUUAGGCAGAAGUUUCUGGAAGAUGGCUGGCGGGACAGAGAGCCAGAAAGCACGGUGAGGUGGGAAGAUGGGCCGGUAGAAAAAGCCGCUGGAUCAGGAAGUGAGAGAGCCAGGGGGCCUGGGUGCUGUAUGAAGCCGUGUCUGAGCUCUCCCCAAUGGAGAGUGUGGGAUGGGCUGAGACGGAGAGGCCAGGGCUGCGGCACUGGGAUCCCAGCUGCUCUCUGGUGGCGGCAGGUAGAAGGUGACUCCCUACUGGGUGGAGGGGAGGACACGUGAGAUGUCAGUGGUGUGGAGGAGGGGGCGGGGAGGGGCUCAUAGCCCUGGCAGAAGCCCACUUUUGGCGCAGUGGCAGAGUUUAGACCAGCAGCCCAUGAGUGGGGCAGAGUGGUCAGUGGAGUAGAAAGAUGGCGAAAGUGGCCAGCACUGUGUGUGAAACAACCCCGCCCCACCCCAUCUAGAGGACAGAGUCUACUCUGAGUCCAUGAACUGCAGGGGGCCAGAGAACACCAAGAUAAGCACCUCUGAGAAUUCUAGGAAAUACUGUAUCCAACAUUUUAUUCUAGAAAAUUCAAAAUGUACACAAAAGCAGAGGUAAGACUCUUAUGAAUCCUCCAUGUAGUUCUGUGCCCCUGCUUACUCCUCUUCU